This 742-nucleotide long non-coding RNA is filed under the name Sorghum bicolor (sorghum). RNAcentral describes it as "long non-coding RNA (SBIC_LNC001704)". Lineage: Eukaryota; Viridiplantae; Streptophyta; Magnoliopsida; Poales; Poaceae. The record is from RNAcentral.
GUUGAGCUUGUUGAAGUCGGCCUUGCCGCCGCUCUUGGCGAGCUGCGACUCGACGGUGGCGAGGAGCGCGGAGAAGUUGGAGCGGAAGGUGGGGAUGACGUCGUCUUUGCGGGAGAGGAGGAGGGAGAAGAGCAUCUGCUUCACCUUGGUGUGGGUGGGCUCGGAGGGGUCGAGGUAGGAGCAGACGCGGUAGCCGCCGGUGAGGGAGGUGGAGGGCAUGUAGGUGCCCGUGAACAGGUCCUUCUUCUCCACCUUGUCCAUGUCGAAGAGGACCGGGAAGCUCUUGGCGUCCAGGACCGCCACCACCCGCGGGUCGCGCGCCAUGAAGGGCCCCGGCGGCACGUUGAUGCGCACCACGGUGGAGCCGUAGCGCUCCACGCGGGACUCGAAGUACUUGUCCUGCCCCUGGAAGUAGUAGAAGUCGAGGCGGUCGCGCACGGCGCCCACCAGCGGCAGCCCGUAGCUGCCCGGCACGUCCCUGGGGGCGCUGGAACCACCAUCGUCGGAGCUCGCCAUUUGAGCCUUGUUGUUGGAUGCUUGCUUCCGAUCCGAUCCCCUACGAAGGAAAUUAACGUACACAAGCUCUCUCGCAAGUCGCAACUAGCUACGUACAGAUAGCUGCUUGGAUGAUUGCUUCUCUCUAAUCGAUCGCUGGGCAGGGCAGGCUCUGCUCAAAUUCGGUCGUCCCCUUCACUGCAAGUGCAAGGGCGUUUGAAGGUUUUCGAAGGACUGGAGGGAGGAG